CCUACGGGAGGCAGCAGUGAGGAAUAUUGGUCAAUGGACGCAAGUCUGAACCAGCCAUGCCGCGUGCAGGAAGACGGCGCUAUGAGUUGUAAACUGCUUUUGUACGAGGGUAAACGCAGAUACGCGUAUCUGUCUGAAAGUAUCGUACGAAUAAGGAUCGGCUAACUCCGUGCCAGCAGCCGCGGUAAUACGGAGGAUUCAAGCGUUAUCCGGAUUUAUUGGGGUUAAAGGGUGCGUAGGCGGUCGGAUAAGUUAGCGGUGAAAUCCCGGGGCUCAACUUCGGAAUAGCCUCUGAUACUGUUCGGCUAGAGAGGAGUUGCGGUAGGCGGAAUGUAUGGUGUAGCGGUGAAAUGCUUAGAGAUCAUGCAGAACACCGAUUGCGAAGGCAGCUUACCAAGCUACUUCUGACGUUGAGGCACGAAAGCGUGGGGAGCGAACAGGAUUAGAUACCCUUGUAGUC
This 460-nucleotide ribosomal RNA is filed under the name uncultured bacterium. RNAcentral's name for it is "partial 16S ribosomal RNA". It matches the Rfam family "Bacterial small subunit ribosomal RNA", at positions 338 to 795 of the family's 1533-position model. The record is from RNAcentral.